CCUUCUCGUGGAUGCCUAAGACAAGUAAUUUUUUUUUCUCAUCCUCAGAUUCCUCAUCUGCAAAAGAGGAUAACAUUUGCUCCUGCUUUAUUCCUAAGGUUGUUAUGAGGAAAAUUACCUUUAAGCCAAUGAAGCAUAUAUUUAGUGUCACACAACGGCAUCAAAGUCUGUAAGCACGAAAGAAGGAAAAAGCAUGCUACCUGCAUUCACAGAACUUGGGAACAAGCAUAGGAAGGACAACCCAUUGAUAUAUGUUUACAAUAGAAAGUAUCACAUCAUCUAGGUGACAGGGAGCAGAGUGGUCCCAACUCAAGUAAAAGAAACUUUAAUUCUGGCUGGUGCCCAAUGUCUGGCACAGACAUUGCAAUGAGACCUUGAUGGGUCUAUAGGACAAUCCAAUGAGUCUGUUAACUGUAAGGUGCGAUUCAGUGAUAAAAUACUACUUGUUACUUCUGCUGGGGCCACUAUUCACCUUCCGCAGCAGCCAUGGUCCCUCUAGGUAAUAAAAUAGCAUGGUGAUUCUAAGAAAGGACCACCUUCCCAGCUUCUGGAACUUCGGGGUAGGCAUGACUGACUAUGGUAUCUUUCAGUCUCAAAGGAGGGGAGGAUACAUCCCAGGUCCCACCAGAUAGAAUAAACACCAACCAAAGGUUAACAGUUAAAUUCUCUUUCCAUCUUCUAACAUUUCCCCCAAGUUCCUCUCAGGUGGGCCCCUUGCCCCCCAGCCCUCUCCCCACUGCCCCCAUCUAUCACCACAUCAACUCUUCUCCCUUACGAGGAUCAGAGCAGGCUCUGAGUUGGCCCACAUUCAAACCCCGACGAUAUCAAUUUCUAGUGUGUUAUAGGGAGCACCUUCCUUUAAUCUAUAGAUAAAUUUUACAUCUGUAAAAUGGGAAUGAAAAUGACAGUACCCACUUCAUAAUGUUGCUGGGAAGGUUAAGUAAAAUAAAUGUAUCUGGUGUAUAACACUUAAAAUAGUAUGUCUUAUAUUAUCACCUGGAGUGCAUGUCGCCAGAUUAUGGCUGUGGGCCAAACCCAGACAUGUCCAUUUGUUUGUGGAACGUCCAAGCGUCCCGUCACAACAGCUGGGUGGAAGAGUGACAGAGCUGUUAUGUCCUACAGAGCUAAGAUACUGUCCGGCCCUUUGCAGAAAAAGCUUGCUGACCUCUGACCUGGAAUGAUGAGAGGAGAAAACUGGCUUAUGCGACAUUGACAACCAGUUAGAUUUUGUCCUUGGUGGGCUUGCCAGUGCCUUUCCCUCCUUAUUGUUGGUUCUUAGUGUCUAAUGAUGUAUGGUAUGAACCCCUUAUAGUGGAGAUAUCCUUAUAGGGAGCUCCACAACUCAGUACCAUGGACAUUCCUGGGAUCUGUUUAUUUCCUCCUGCAGUCCAGUAUUAGUAGAGAAGGACUACAUGGCAGAUGUGGGGAAGGUGGGUGACCAAUUUCAGCUCUUUUUAGUUAUGGCAUAAUCUCAAAUGGAAACUGUAGAAUACUGUAAGGUAAAAGGGGCAUUGGUAUUAUCAGGUGAUAUCCUAGUUACCAAGCAGAGGGAAGCAGCGACAUGGAAAAAGAAGCAAACCAUGGCGGGUGGCUUGAAAUUUCCUCUGACCUUUUCCUCUGCGCCUUAAAUUAAGAGCCCUGUAAAGUCCAGUCUGAUUCCAUUUAAAUAUUUUUAAAGCACAUGCAACAUUAUUGCUAUUCUUUGUUUUUUCUUUUAAAGAUUUUAUUUAAUUAUUUGACAGAGAGAGAGCGAGAGAGGGAACACAAGCAGGGAGAGUGGCAGAGGGAGAAGCAGGCUUCCCGCCAAGCAGGGAGCCUGAUGCGGAGCUGGAUCCCAGGACCCUGGGAUCGUACCUGAGCCAAAGGCAGAUGCUUAACGACUGAGCCAUCCAGGCAUCCCAAUACUAUUGCUAUUCUAAGAUGUACAGAAAUCUGGGUAGAUGGGGAUUGUGUAGUGGAGCAGUAUUUCUAGGGUUUCGCUAUUUGCAUGUUGGGAAGAGCACCCAACUGGGUCCAAAAAACAUUGCCACGAUCUAGAUGGGACAACAGGAGGGGCGCCUGGGUGGCUCAGUUGGUUGGGCAGCUGCCUUCGGCUCAGGUCAUAGUUCCGGCGUCCUGGGAUCGAGUCCCACAUCAGGCUCCUUGCCCCGGAGGGAGCCUGCCUCUCCCUCUGACUCUGCCUGCCACUCUGCCUGUGCUCUCUCUCUCUCUGACAAAUAAAUAAAUAAAAUCUUAAAAAAAAAAAAAGAUCAUUUAGAUGGGACAACAGGGGCAUGGUGUUCCCUCUCUUAGCCUCAGGUUCCCAGUAGAGACAAUCUCUUUGUUAACUGAUGAAAGAUAAUAAAUGGAAACACUCAAAGAGCAGUGUGUGGCUGUGUAUGACUGUGUGGUGGGGUGUUCUGUAAGGAAGGGAUUGUAAGCUUUCUUUUGAAUGGUAGAUGCGGCAAGAAGAUACUCUAAAAUGAGCUUCAGUCACAGCUGUUUUCACCUACUGCCCCUAGGCCAUCUACAUCCAUUCCCCUUUUUCAUCCAAGGGAAGGUUGCUUUGGACCACAGCUCUCAUCAAGGCGGAGAAUGAACCUAGUGUUCACUUGUGCACACAUGUCAUCCAGAGACAUGCAGUCCUAAAAUCACUGGUUUUGGGGAGUUGUCUCUUGUCAGUGCAGAGGCUUUCCUUAGUUGAAUAAAAAAACAGAUGCUCAUUAAUUUUAAAGAUUCAUUAAAAAACCAACAUUUGGGGCACCUGUGUGGCUCAGUUGGUUAAGUGUCUGCCUUUGGCUCAGGUCAUGAUCCCAGGGUCCUGGGAUCAAUCCCUGAGUGGGCCUCCUUGCUCAACAGGGAGCCUGCUUCUCCCUCUCCCUCUGUCUGCCACUCGCCCUGCUUAUGCUCUCUCUCUUUCUUUGUCAAAUAAAUAAAUAAAACCUUAAAAAAAAAGAAAACAAACAACAAAAAAAAAAAACCUCGCCAACAUUCAUUGAGCUCUCACUAUAUCCUCAGCACUGUAGUCAGUAUCUGGGACCGCAAGAGUGGACAGUCAUGGUCCCUUAAUGACCUCAAAUCCCGCCUUGAAAUACUCUCUAACAGUCUCGUUCUGAAUGCACACUCCUUUACUUUGUUACAGUCAGCCACAACUGGGAGGCUCUCUGACCCCCUGUGCACGACGCCCUCACUGUCCUUCCCCUACUCUUGAUGCCCCUCCUUUCAGUUUCUGCUUACUUUUAGAGUUUCUUGCCCACUAAAGUGCAAAUGACAGUUCAGGAGAGUUUUCUUCCUGGGGAACUUGCAUUAGAGAUCCACGUCCUCCCCAAGGCACUUUCCCUGCUGAACCUGGAUUUGGCCUCAGGACCCAUCUGUCCUUACCAGUCACAGUUGGCAGUCAGGUCUUCAACUAUUCAUCAUGCUUUAAGCCAAGACUGAAAAUUCAGGGAUCAGAUAGCAAACACUAGGUUCAGUUUUUGUGGGGAAGAGGGAAAGGAUAGGAACAGGGGUUUUAUGUUUUUUUUUGGGGGUGGGGGAGCCCUGCAGAAUGAGAUGACAGAGAUACAGCCUGUCCCUGUUAUAUAUAAGGUCCCAACUUAGCAAAAGGCAUUGCCCAAGGGUGGCAAUUAUCCUGCAGAAAUGUUCGCUACCAAGAAGAAAGUUGGAGAUGAUCUUCGCUGAACUGAAAAUCUUGUCACAGAGAAAGUGAGGAGUGUGGAAUUUAUAUCCCUAUAAAGGCACAGCUACUCAAAAUACCCAGCGUAAGUGGAGAAUUCAGAGCAGAAGCACCAUGCAUAGAGAAGGCCCCCGAGGUACUUUAAGGUGCCUAAGUGAACAGUUGGCCUCAAGAAGAAUCUAAUUUGAAUGUUUCAGAGCAAUCAUACAAGGAGGUCUCUUUUGGAAAGUUCUACCAUCUCGUGCACUGUGUUUGACAGAGAUAGAGUCCAAAGAAGGACAAUGAACACAUUCAUUAAUGAGGACUCAACUUGCUAUUGUACUGUCAAAAAGGCUCACCAAUUUAAAUGAUAUUCUAAGCUUUCACAGUAUUUAUUUUUUAAAAGGUUUAUUUAUUUAUUUGACAGAGAGUGUGUGGGGGCCAAGGGGCAGAGGGAGACGGAGAGGGAGAGAGAAUUCCAUGCCAUCUCCACCCCCCAAGAACGCAGCCUCACACAGGGCUCGAUCUUAGGACCCUGAGGUCAAGAUCUGAGCCGAAACCAAGAGUUGGAUGCUUAACAGACUGAGCCACCCAGGUGCCCCCAGCUUUCACAGUAUUUAAAUGUGAAAGAAUGCAUUAAACUUGGGAACCUGCUGGGAUAUAGUAGAUUGUAAACAUCUCCAUAUGGUUAUAGAAUUUCAAAUGCAUCAUUAUGCCCUCACGAAAAUGAUAAUAUAUAAAUGCAGGAGAGCUUAGUUCAAGUAAAUGCAUUAUUGGAGUUGACAACGAAAGCGUGGACACCUUUAGGACUCAUAGGUGGGCUCACUGCCGAUCUCUGUGGACCAAGGAACCAACUUGGUAUCAUCUGGGCUCUCUGAAAAAGCUCUCUUUACAAUGUAUCGAACUGCAAGUCUCUGAAGCUCCUGUCCAGCUGUCAAAAUAUUGGAGUCACUUGUCUACAGUGAAAUGAUUUUCCAUGGAGACAUCUUUUUCCUACUCCUUAUUCCACGUGACGGGAGAAGACCUGCCCAACGUGAUGUAAAUGUGGCCAAAGUACCAAAACCCUCUGGACACAGUGACUGGUUCGGGAAUGAUUCUUUCAAGAUGAAACCAGGUAAAUAAAAACUGGACUCUGGAAUUUACUGGGCAGGGAUUCUCUUUCAACGAGAAGAAGUAAGGACAUUAGGAAGUAAGUCUAGAGGUGCUAAUGGUCAUCUUACCAGCAGAUAGACCGAUUUAUUGAAGCUAACUAUAAAUGAACUAUUGAAACUAACAGAGAGAACAGCAGGAGAUGGAGAAGAACAGAUCCUGAAUUGCGUCAUUGGAAUCUCUGGCCUCAUCAUCCCUGAGGUUUCACUUGUGCACCUUUUAGUUCUCCAGCCCAUGGAUUUUUUUUUUUUCCACUUCAGACUUUGGAGUUAAGUUUCUGUCACUUGCCAUGAAAAGAGACUUGACUGAUUCACUUACUUCUCACUAUGAAGGAGAUGCUCUAUAAAGAGUCCACGGCCAAGCUAUGUAUGACUCAUGGUUGCGUCAAGAGAUCCAGGGUGCUAAAUGUCAGUGAUAUGGUGUGUGAUGGCCUUCACCCCAUCUUCUGCUAGACUGCCUAAUAGACCUUGAGUCUGGAUCUUCAGAGUCUAGGCUAUCAGCACUGCAGCCCACCUAACUGCAGCUAACAGGUGAGUCUGCUCUUUUGUUCAGGUUGAUGCUGGCUUUUAACCCUUGAGCUAGGAUACGCUUCUAAUAAAUCCUUGUAGAACCCUUUCUGAUGACUCAACUCCACCCGAUUCAUUCGGGAUUUCUUACUGUCUGCAGAAACUUAAAUAUUACCUGAAUCGCACCCUCCCCUAAACCACCAUUGGCUUUCUUGGACUUUGAUGCCUGGACUGGAUUGGAGCUUGCUCUGAAUUACUCCUGACUAUAACACCAAAUUUGAACUCCUGACCACCAUCCUCCUUUACCAGAAUGGGACCAAACUUCCUUUUUCAGUUUUUCCUGGCUCCUGGACAAUUCUUACUUACCCUUCUACCGUUCUUUAGGAGUGAUGAAAGCCAUUUCAUUUAUAGAUCUCUACGCUUAGAUAUAACGAGGCUAUAUCAGGAUCUUGAAUGUGCUUUUUAAAACUAAAUGCAAGUUUCAAUUUUUCAUGUACCAAGUGCCUAUCCCCCACCCACAACCCCGAAAUCAGAAUCAUGCCGGAGUUCUCUAGCCAGACUCUACUUGGGAAACCAGCCAAAGGAAAUCUCUGCAACAGACUGGUCCAGCCCAAUUAGAGGAACUGGAGUACGUGUUACUCCAACAAAAAGAAGGCCUGCCCAGAGUCAUCCAGCCCGUCCUUAUGCUGGCCCAGCCAAGGCAGGAAAAGUGGAGAAUGGCCACUAAAGACAGAAGUGACUUCAUGCUCUGUGUCUGGAAUUGCCUCUGAGCUUGUCCUAGCAAUGGACAUUGGGUGCUGACCAAGAGGACUUUGAUGAUUGUUGGUAGCUUUGGGCAAAUGGGUCAUUUGCUGGGACGACUCUUCUCAUUUCCAGGUUGGUACCUCAGUCUCCAUGUCAUCUGAAGCAAUGAGUCCUGGGUUUCCUGCCUGGAUGUGGGAACCUGAAGACAGAGCUCCAAGACUUAGUCUACUUUAAACUGAGGAGCCAGGGAAGACUGCCUAGCCCAGACCACUGAGGUAGCCAUGAUUUCCUUCUUUUCAGAUAACCCAGGAUCAUGACCAGCCCUUGGACUCUUGAACCUCUCAGGGCCAAUGGAGAGGACAUGGGUCCAAGUGAGGAGUUCAGAAUGCCUCCAAGACAACUUAAACCAGGAAAGGAGAGUAGAGUCCCAUGCCAGAAUUUAAAGGGGGGCCCAAAGUCAAAGGAGGCCAAUUAUUUCGUUAAGAGCUGACCAAAGGGCUGAGCACCCAGGAAGUUGAGGUCAGAGGAAAUGGAAGACUGCCAGGAGGCCAUGUAGUGAUCCCGCCCCUCCCACCGCAGUCCUUGGAUUUUUGUUCAUGGCUGGGGGGAGGGAAGUGGUGGUGAGUCCCAGUCCUGCACUGUAAACUGAACCGUGGGUGACAAUUUCCAUUUAAACAAUAAAUGCUGGCUACACCCUAGGCUGGCUCAGCAAAGUCUAUUAAACACAUCAUAUAGGAACAAA
This is a long non-coding RNA of Mustela lutreola (European mink), 6775 nucleotides long. RefSeq lists it as uncharacterized. Lineage: Eukaryota; Metazoa; Chordata; Mammalia; Carnivora; Mustelidae. The transcript has 2 exons. The record is from RefSeq and is a predicted model, not a curated record.